Molecule: long non-coding RNA, 652 nt
Organism: Rosa chinensis
Lineage: Eukaryota; Viridiplantae; Streptophyta; Magnoliopsida; Rosales; Rosaceae
Exons: 5
Source: RefSeq, a predicted model, not a curated record
GUUACUUAUGCUGAUUUUGGGUAAUUUAGUGCUUAUUAGGAAAUUGUGUUUUGGUUUCUACUUUGGUUAAUGUUGAUUUUUUUGUCCAGGUUUCACUCAGCUAAGCAUUUGCUAGAUGUAUGUAUGAAGAAUGUGGGAUUAGGUGAUUUAAAGCCACGCAAAGGCUACCAUUUCCCUCAAGGAAGCUGAAGUAUUCUAGCCAUGUAAUUGCUUACCUAAUCCUCUGCACAGGGGUUUAGUUCUCACUAAUAGUUGUGAGAAAGCUUUUCUGAAGCAGCCCAAAGUAUUCUUGAGUUCGAAGUAUACAGGUAAGAGACCUGGAAAGGGAGGCAACCGAUUCUGGAAGAGUAUUGAGCUGGGCUAAAGACCCCAGGGAUGCUAUUGAAGGCUCCAAUGGAUGAAUGACCACUAUGGGUGUAUAUGUGCGUGAUUUGCUACUUGGGCAGAGUUAAGGUUCUGGUUUGAUUUUGGGAAGCUUCAAAUUGGUGGCUCUGGAGUUGUGAUUGUUUGGUGUUCUUCUUCGAAGUUCGAACUACAGGUCAGUCUUCUUGUGGGAUAUAUCAUGUGACCUCAUUGCUAUAUGUUAAUCACGUUAUGUUCUGUAGUGGAUGUGACCUCAUUGCUAUAUUCAUUUGAUUUUUAGUGACUGCAA